This 245-nucleotide ribosomal RNA is filed under the name uncultured Prevotella sp. RNAcentral describes it as "partial 16S ribosomal RNA". It matches the Rfam family "Bacterial small subunit ribosomal RNA", at positions 524 to 768 of the family's 1533-position model. Lineage: Bacteria; Pseudomonadati; Bacteroidota; Bacteroidia; Bacteroidales; Prevotellaceae. The record is from RNAcentral.
UACGGAAGGUCCUGGCGUUAUCCGGAUUUAUUGGGUUUAAAGGGAGCGCAGGCGGGCCUUUAAGCGUGACGUGAAAUGCCGCGGCUCAACCGUGGAAGUGCGUCGCGAACUGGUGGCCUUGAGUGAGGACGACGCAGGCGGAAUUCGUGGUGUAGCGGUGAAAUGCUUAGAUAUCACGAAGAACCCCGAUUGCGCAGGCAGCCUGCGAGGCCUCAACUGACGCUAAUGCUCGAAGGUGCGGGUAU